UACGUAGGGUGCAAGCGUUAAUCGGAAUUACUGGGCGUAAAGCGUGCGCAGGCGGUUUUGUAAGUCAGAUGUGAAAUCCCCGGGCUUAACCUGGGAACUGCGUUUGAAACUACAAGGCUAGAGUGUGGCAGAGGGGGGUGGAAUUCCGCGUGUAGCAGUGAAAUGCGUAGAUAUGCGGAGGAACACCGAUGGCGAAGGCAAUCCCCUGGGCCUGCACUGACGCUCAUGCACGAAAGCGUGGGGAGCAAACAGG
This 253-nucleotide ribosomal RNA is filed under the name uncultured bacterium. RNAcentral describes it as "partial 16S ribosomal RNA". It matches the Rfam family "Bacterial small subunit ribosomal RNA", at positions 524 to 776 of the family's 1533-position model. The record is from RNAcentral.